UGAGGAAUAUUGGUCAAUGGGCGAGAGCCUGAACCAGCCAAGUAGCGUGCAGGAUGACGGCCCUAUGGGUUGUAAACUGCUUUUAUAUGGGAAUAAAGUGAGGGACGUGUCCCUUAUUGCAUGUACCAUACGAAUAAGGACCGGCUAAUUCCGUGCCAGCAGCCGCGGUAAUACGGAAGGUCCAGGCGUUAUCCGGAUUUAUUGGGUUUAAAGGGAGCGUAGGCUGUUUGUUAAGCGUGUUGUGAAAUGUAGGAGCUCAACUUUUAGAUUGCAGCGCGAACUGGCAGACUUGAGUGCGCACAACGUAGGCGGAAUUCAUGGUGUAGCGGUGAAAUGCUUAGAUAUCAUGACGAACUCCGAUUGCGAAGGCAGCUUACGGGAACGCAACUGACGCUAAAGCUCGAAGGUGCGGGUAUCGAACAGG
Molecule: ribosomal RNA, 424 nt
Filed under: Verrucomicrobiota bacterium
Lineage: Bacteria; Pseudomonadati; Verrucomicrobiota
Description: Verrucomicrobia bacterium partial 16S ribosomal RNA
Rfam family: Bacterial small subunit ribosomal RNA
Source: RNAcentral